UUGCAGGCUGCAACUCGCCUGCAUGAAGUCGGAAUUGCUAGUAAUCGUAGGUCAGCAUACUACGGUGAAUACGUUCCCGGGCCUUGUACACACCGCCCGUCAAACCAUGAGAGUUGGCAACACCCGAAGUCGGUAGUCUAACCGCAAGGAGGACGCUGCCGAAGGUGGGAUUAGCGACUGGGGUGAAGUCGUAACAAGGUAGC
RNAcentral lists this ribosomal RNA (203 nucleotides) under uncultured bacterium. RNAcentral's name for it is "partial 16S ribosomal RNA". It matches the Rfam family "Bacterial small subunit ribosomal RNA", at positions 1298 to 1500 of the family's 1533-position model. The record is from RNAcentral.